Molecule: ribosomal RNA, 816 nt
Filed under: Pedobacter sp.
Lineage: Bacteria; Pseudomonadati; Bacteroidota; Sphingobacteriia; Sphingobacteriales; Sphingobacteriaceae
Description: bacterial SSU rRNA
Rfam family: Bacterial small subunit ribosomal RNA
Source: RNAcentral
AGUCGACGAUACUCUUUAGCUUGCUAAGGAGGAAGUGGCGCACGGGUGCGUAACGCGUAUGCAACCUACCUUAAUCAGGGGGAUAGCCCGAAGAAAUUCGGAUUAACACCGCAUAAAAUCACAGCACAGCAUUGUGCAAUGAUCAAAUAUUUAUAGGAUUAAGAUGGGCAUGCGUGACAUUAGUUAGUUGGCGGGGUAACGGCCCACCAAGACCACGAUGUCUAGGGGAUCUGAGAGGAUGACCCCCCACACUGGUACUGAGACACGGACCAGACUCCUACGGGAGGCAGCAGUAAGGAAUAUUGGUCAAUGGAGGCAACUCUGAACCAGCCAUGCCGCGUGCAGGAAGACAGCCCUCUGGGUCGUAAACUGCUUUUAUUCGGGAAUAAACCACAUUACGUGUAGUGUGCUGAAUGUACCGAAGGAAUAAGGAUCGGCUAACUCCGUGCCAGCAGCCGCGGUAAUACGGAGGAUCCAAGCGUUAUCCGGAUUUAUUGGGUUUAAAGGGUGCGUAGGCGGCUUUUUAAGUCAGGGGUGAAAGACGGUGGCUCAACCAUCGCAGUGCCCUUGAUACUGAAGAGCUUGAAUGAAUUAGAGGUAGGCGGAAUGUGACAAGUAGCGGUGAAAUGCAUAGAUAUGUCACAGAACACCGAUUGCGAAGGCAGCUUACUAUGAUUUUAUUGACGCUGAGGCACGAAAGCGUGGGGAUCAAACAGGAUUAGAUACCCUGGUAGUCCACGCCCUAAACGAUGAAUACUCGCUGUUAGCGAUACACAGUUAGCGGCUAAGCGAAAGCGUUAAGUAUUCCACCUGGGG